GUAGGGCGCAAGCGUUGUCCGGAAUCAUUGGGCGUAAAGAGCUCGUAGGCGGCUUGUCACGUCGGGUGUGAAAGCCCGGGGCUUAACCCCGGGUCUGCAUUCGAUACGGGCUAGCUAGAGUGUGGUAGGGGAGAUCGGAAUUCCUGGUGUAGCGGUGAAAUGCGCAGAUAUCAGGAGGAACACCGGUGGCGAAGGCGGAUCUCUGGGCCAUUACUGACGCUGAGGAGCGAAAGCGUGGGGAGCGAACAGGAUUAGAUACCCUGGUAGUCCACGCCGUAAACGGUGGGAACUAGGUGUUGGCGACAUUCCACGUCGUCGGUGCCGCAGCUAACGCAUUAAGUUCCCCGCCUGGGGAGUACGGCCGCAAGGCUA
RNAcentral lists this ribosomal RNA (372 nucleotides) under uncultured bacterium. RNAcentral's name for it is "bacterial SSU rRNA". It matches the Rfam family "Bacterial small subunit ribosomal RNA", at positions 527 to 896 of the family's 1533-position model. The record is from RNAcentral.